AUAACUCCAUCGUAUGUGAGUACGAGUCUUAGUCUUUAUAGAAAAACAUGGGGAAGGCUUUUUCCAAGCGACUGGUGACUCUGGCUAUUUCUUGCUCAUCUUUCCUUUGUUAAAACCAAAAAAAAAAAAAUUAUUCUCCUACUCUCUCCCUCUGCUACUCCACUUAAUCCUUUAGUUUUCUCUGAGCUUCCGAAUCCUGUGGUUUUUGUUGAUACAAUGGAUCAAGAGAAGGAGGUGAAUGGCGUUGUUGGUGGUGGUAUUGAUGAGACAGAGAAGAAGACUUUGGUUCAAGGCAAAGCUGAGGCCUUAGAGAAGUGUCUGGAAGAGAACAAAGGAGACAACACCAAAUGCAAGGCUAAGGUUGAAGCUUUCAGAUCAUCUUCCUCUCCAAAAAAACCCUCUAAGUCUUUAAGACUACGGAGUGGUUUGUUGACUGAUGUUUGAAUGGAUUAGUGGGAAUCCCAUUCUUCUUCUCCAAAGUGUAAACAGUUGUAGUGUUGGUGUACAAAAUUGGGAAAUUUUAUUUCAGAGUUUGUUGUUUCAAA
Theobroma umbraticum is the source of this 545-nucleotide long non-coding RNA. RefSeq lists it as uncharacterized. Lineage: Eukaryota; Viridiplantae; Streptophyta; Magnoliopsida; Malvales; Malvaceae. The record is from RefSeq and is a predicted model, not a curated record.